RNAcentral lists this ribosomal RNA (328 nucleotides) under uncultured eukaryote. RNAcentral describes it as "partial 18S ribosomal RNA". It matches the Rfam family "Eukaryotic small subunit ribosomal RNA", at positions 1470 to 1796 of the family's 1831-position model. The record is from RNAcentral.
CCCUUAGAUGUUCUGGGCUGCACGCGCGCUACACUGAUGCGCUCAACGAGUUUUAACCUUGCCUGGAAAGGUUGGGUAAUCUUUUUAAAACGCAUCGUGAUGGGGCUAGAUUAUUGCAAUUAUUAAUCUUCAACGAGGAAUGCCUAGUAAGCGUGAUUCAUCAAAUCGCGUUGAUUACGUCCCUGCCCUUUGUACACACCGCCCGUCGCUCCUACCGAUUGAAUGUGUUGGUGAGGAGCUCGGAUUGGCAGCAGUUGGUGGUUCGCCACCGGCUAUUGCUGAGAAGUCCUCCAAACCGCCCCAUUUAGAGGAAGGAGAAGUCGUAACA